Long non-coding RNA from Acanthopagrus latus (yellowfin seabream), 2922 nucleotides. RefSeq lists it as uncharacterized. NCBI's taxonomy places the organism in Eukaryota, Metazoa, Chordata, Actinopteri, Spariformes, Sparidae. The record is from RefSeq and is a predicted model, not a curated record. The transcript is spliced from 2 exons.
ACUAUUGCGCCACUAAAUGGGACAUGGAAAAUCAAGGUGUCGGAACGCAUUUUUGGCUUGAACAAACAUAUUUUGAUGAUGAGGAAAUUGGACAUUGGAAACUGAGCAAGAAAUCAGUCAAACAUUAUGGCAUUUGACGAAAGUUGGUAAUACAGACUCUUCCGGUUUGUAAUCAAUGUGCUGUAAAGAAUAUGAUCAGGAUGUGAGAGGAGGAGGAGAGACUCCCAUUUGGAGUGUCAGAAAGUCAUAUAAGAGGCAAUUAUCUCUACAUGAGGGGUUAUCGUUUUGAGAGGGAGUAAGAUAUGAAGUGCCGUGAAAGUAUGUGACCUCCACUCUGUUGUAUUUAAGUCAGUAACAUUUGGAAGACUGGAGAGAACAGUCUGGACCUUCCCUACAUGCAGCAUGCAUUAAAGAGAUCUGAUUCAUCACACUGAGUCUAACAUUCUUAAGAUAUAAGAUAAUCCUUAUAGGUGAGUAAGAAAUUGAAAGGAAGUGACUUAUGCAAACCUGAUAAAGGGUAAUACAAUGAAAAUAAUAGCAUAUAAUAGGAAGAAAAUAUAAUAUGAUACAAUAUGAGAUACUGUAAUAAUGAUAUGAUACAGUACAGUAUUACAUGAGGCCCCACUACAAUAAAAUGGGUGUAUGAGUGAAAAUAAAUAUAUGAAAUAAGUAUAAAGAAUAAACUUUGUGGUGACAUUCAGUGACUAGUAUACAGCCUGUAUACUACAGGGGUGCGUUGCUCGGAACGAAUGUGUCAUACAAACCAAAAAGUUACCCAAAGUUAGUGUGUGGUUGAUGAGAUCCAUCCAUACACUGUAUGGGAAGAGCAGAAUGAUUGUGAAAUUUGUUUGAAUGAUAAGUCCAUUGAAAGUUUAAGCACAUCUGUCCCAGUGAGUCAGCUGAAAACAUAAGGAACAAAACCGGAAAUUUAUAAGCUCUAUCUGACCCUCUUACAGGCUCUGCUGAAAUAAUGGCAGACAAAUGGGGAAAUAAUGUGGUUAAAAAUGUUCAACUUUGGCACUGUGUCACCCAUGGGGUGCUUCCAGUAAAAGGCACAUUAAGCACAGAAUGUUUAAGAUAGUGUAAAAUAUGUUAAAAGAAAAGGUAACAGGAAAGCAGGAAAGAAAAAAAGGUAGACUGACAAGUUUUUAAAAUCAGUAGUGGGACUGAAACGGUAAUGGGAAAAUAGAGUUUGAGUAACAUAAAGAAGAAACAAUGUAGGGCCAGAAUUAGGAAUUGACCUCCUCCAUGCUGUCUCCACACCUACAACCCUCCUUUAAACAAUACCUUCUCCACACAAGGUCAGGCAUCCCAGGAUGACUCUGUGAAGGAGGGAGGAGGAUAACCAGUACACCCUGUCUUUUCAGCCCUCUUUCUCUCUUCUAAAAUGAGUCACAAAUUAACCUUGCUUCUCCAAAAAAGCCUUUUUCUCCACCAGCCAGCUUCUACUGACUACUGACUGCGGAGUCGAGAUCACUGAGGGGAUGAUGUUCCCCGACCCCGUGCUGAGGCAAACAAGGAAGCAGACUGUCAUUGAGAUCCAGAAGUGUUUUAUACACAGGCCAUGUCAGCCAAACAAAUUGAAGGAGGCUACAGAGGUAUCACCUGACACAAAGACUGGAGUCGGGUGGGCCACAGAGUCCUGGACAAAGAUGGCAGGCACUGCACAACAGCCAGAGGAAAAGGAGACUGGGCCCGUAUCAAAUUAUCAAGGAAAGUGCAACAGCACUGACCAGAUAAGCUAUGCUGCAGAAGUAAGGUUAUGGGAACCCCGAGCUUAAUCAUCAAGAAGGGAGAGAUCCAGAGGAAUCCUGACCACAUGCACCAGCUAAAGGUGUCUGUUCAUUUCCCAGGAUUCACCUUGACACAGCCAAAGGAGACAGCAGAGAUGGAUCCUGCUUCAGAGACGUGACAAGCAACAACACAGGUUAAGAAAUUGUACAGUUGCUGCCAGAUGAUAUAUUUACCACAGUCCAAACAAUCUAUCUUGCCCAACCAUGCUCAGCACAGCUUGCAGAAAUUAAAGCUUUUAACUGCCGCAAAGCAAAUUAUCAGAAGGCAAGCGGUUAAAUGUAUACUCACAGUGGGCUAUGCAUACGCAGUGUGUCAUAUAUAUGGAAAUAUCUGGAAACAGAGAGGUUUUCUCAGAGCGGAAUGGCACACCAGUAAUGCAUGGAGCAGCCAUCUUAACACUAAUUCAAGCAUUCAUCUAUCAAGUGUAUCAGCUAUUAUCAAGUGUGCUGCUCACCAAAAAAGCAGUUCCCUAAUAGCCAAACGCAAUAGCCUGGCUGACGAGGCCACUAAACAAGCUGAAACCGGUACAUGUGUUGGACGGUUGAAGGCAGCCGAAAACUGUGAACCACUCACCACUUUACCAUCCUUAAUAGCAGCCCAGAAGGAGGCUGACAUACGUACAGUUAGUGUGGUUAAAACGUGGUGAUAUUAAAACCACUCAAGAAGACCACCAGAAAGGUUUAUGGUGUAAGCACAGUAGAUAAAACUUUAGCAGAAUGUUUGUGCAAACAAUACUCUGAGGAAAGCCUUUCCUGCUGCAAAAUUAUACAAAUUAUACAAAUGUGUUUGCCAGAGUGCAUGAAUUCUGAUAACGAGUCAUCUUUUGAUAGAGAUAAAGAUUAAACUAGGAGUUUGAGACCAUGGACUUCUGAAAAUAAAGACAGUUCAGGCUAAAAAGGGCAGAGACUAUCCAGGGUGGAAAAAAAAAAAAAAAGAGCACUCUUCAAUUUGGGCUAAGAGAAAAGAAAAGGGUAUUUGUAGGACAGAGAAAUGCAGGUUAAAAUACAGCCUUAAGUCCAUGGACGGCAAACAUCGGAUAAAUAAUCAAAAAGCAAGGUAAAUUAAAGUCUAAAUUAAAGGAAAUGUGAGAAUAAUGCAUGCGAGAACCAAAACUGAAAAAAACACACA